AUAAAUACAAGGACUAGAUGAGUCCUCUCCGUGCUCCACUUGCUCCCUCUCCGACCCGGGAUCUGUGUCGAAACCCCUUUACCAAUCAAUCUGGCAAAGGGACAUUCCCCAUCAGAUGUCCCAGCAGAGCCGUACUGUUGGGGGUGAGCGAGCUCUGCACAAAGCCUUUGGAGAGGCAUACCUUUCCGAGCCCAACUUUGUGUUUGUUGCCUCCUGGGUGGUAGGGCACUGGGGAUAUGCCAUUUAUUUGCCAGGGCACAAGGGAUCCAUCCUGCCCAGGCACAUUUGAAUGCAUGUCACUAACAGAUGUUUGUUCUCUGAGCCUGGACAUCUGGUAGUUGGCCAUAGGAAUGAAUGCAAGGACAAAAUGGCUGGGCUGCUCUAGAAGCUAGUUUGGGAGCCAAAAUGGCAUUUAUUUCCAGUUGGGUCUUUAAUUAGGCUAGGCACUUUUGACCAGACCUCCCCCUCUGUCACCUAGGGUACACAGAUUACAGGAAAUCUUAAUCACAUUCCACCAGAUAAGUGUAGACAGUGUGCAUCACUCCACCCAAGCCAGAACAAGAGCCAUUCCACACGAGAUCUCUAAACAGAUUCAGGCUGCUUGGUGCACCAUGGCAGCCCAUGCAAAGCAUUUGAUGCUCUUCUGAGAGGGAUACCUUUCUGGGGAGCAGGGAGCCUAGCCGUCAAGACAACCACAGCAGACUUGCAAAUGGAUGGAAGGAUGGCCUGCCUGUGUUUCUCCCUGCACCCCAUAGGAUAGAUUUGGUGUACUUGAUCUGUCUAGGGCUGGACUGCUUGGCAGGCCUCUGCCGUUGUUUCAAGUAAUUAGCUUCCACCCAGCUUGGGACCAGGUUGACUGGUGUGUAAGACCCAGAGAGGGCCUCUGACGUCAGUGGCUCUCCUCUGCAAGAAGAUCAAAGUCUGAGCAGUUUAGCAGCUCCCAGUGGUCAGAUAAGUGUAGACAGAGUUAAGUGGUCCUAACCCAGGUGGCACAUGGUGGUGCAGGUUUGGUAAGCAAUGCAGUUUCCCUUUCUCCAUUGAGCAUAUUGCGUGUUAAUAGAAGCCCGGGUGAGGGCCUGGCUGGUCGUACUGCAGGUGCAGACUUGGUGGUAGUAGCAAAUAUUCAAAUAAGAACUUUGAAGGCCAAAGUGGAGAUGGAUUACAUGUGAAAAGCAGUUGAACAUAGGUCAGUCGGUCCUAAGUGAUGAGUGAACGCCUCUCAAACGGUACGAGGCGAUGAACUCUGUGACGAUUAGCUGAUCGAAAGGGAGUUGGGUUCAGAUCCCUGAACCCAUAGUGGUGGAGUUGGCUGCCCUCUUGACGUCCAGAGCAGUAACGCAAACAAUUUCGGAGAAGCUGUCAGGAGCACCAGAAGAGUUCUCUUUUCUUUGUGAAGGGCAGGACACCCUGGUGUGGGUUUGCCCAGAUAGAGGGGCCUGAGCCUUGGAAAGUCUUGCAGUUCCGGCUAUUUCUGUGAGCUCAUACUGGUCCUUGGAAAUCAGGAGAGAUAGUGUAAAUCUUGCACCAGGCAGUACCCAUAUCUGCAGCAGGUCUCUAAGGUGUGCAGCCUCUGGCAGGUUGGAACAAUGUAAAUAAGGGAAGUCAGCAAGUCAAAUCUAUACCUUUGGGAUAAGGAUUGGCUCUAGGUUUGGUCAGUUGGGCUCGGGUGCGAAGUCGGGCUGGGCAUGCAUUGCUGCUUGAUGAGGCAUCUCCCCCAAAGGGCACUGCUGACUCUGGACCCAAGCUGGGCCCUUCCUCUGGAUUGCCCCAGCUGUGGUUCUCGCUCUCUCCAUUUCCCUUCCUGGGUUCAGGGCUGGCAUUCUUCCUCGGCCGAUGCCUAGCAGCUCACUUAAAAGUGAUCCAGGGGAACACGACUGUUUAAUUAAAACAGCAUUGUGAAGACCCACGACAGUUGUUGACACAAUGUGAUUUCUUCCCAGUGCUCUGAAUAUCAAAGUAAAGAAAUUCAAUGAUGAAUGGUGUAAAUGGCAAGAGUUACUAAAACAGUUUAAAAGCAACCAAAUGCCUCAUCAUCUAAUUAGUGACGUGCAUGAAUGUGAAUGUAUGAGAAGAUUCCCACUGUCCCUACUAUCUAGAGAAGCCACAGCCAAGGGAACAUGCUUGACAGAAUCAGAGGAGAAAGAAGAGCAUGCAGAGCUUGAAUCCAGUCUGGCACUGUCAAGAGACAUGAGAGGUGUAGGAUAAGUGGAGGACCUCAGGCCGCCAAUGAAAUGCCACUGCACUAAUUGUUUUUUCAUGUACGCAGUGAGGCUGGGGCCGGCCCCGUGGGGCUCUCUUCUUCUGGCUCUAAGUGGCUGGCCUCUGCCAGCCAUGACCCACUAUGGGACCGUGGCAUCUGGGGAAUUUUUACUGGGUGGUACAUCUGUCAAACAAUAACACAGGUACCUAAGGCAAGCUCAGGAAGGAGGGACACCUCCUGCAGUGCUGAAAGGCAAAAGCUUGCUUCAUCUUAGUUUUCAGUAUGAAUACAGACCAUGAAAGCGGGGCCUCAGGAUGCUUCUGAAAUUUUUGGUUUCAAGCAAGAGGUGUCAGAUAAGUUAUCACAUGGAUAACUGGCUUGUGGCAGCCAUGCGUUCAAAGCAAUGUUGCUAUUUGAUCCUGGGAUGUUGGUUCUACCUUUCAUUAUCAAGCAGAAUUCAACAAGCAUUGGAUUGUUCCCCCACUAAUAGGGAAACGUGAGCUGGGUUGAGACCAGCUUGAGACAGGUUAGUUCUACCAUUCACAUUAGGUGGUGAUAAUUGACAAUCGAUUGAUAUCUACAUUAGCAUAGCAAUUCACUCUGGUUAUGUACUGAAAUGUAAAGGACAAGAGGGUGUGGACUGCAGUUGAUUUAAAGUUUGUGUAUUUGUUUUCUUUUUGAAGGUGUCCUUUUUCAUGUACAGGGUACAUAUGAAAGAGUGGAAUGUGCAAUACACUUAGGGGUUCAUUUUCCACUGAGCAUAUGCCUAACGUCCUAACCAACUGCUGAAAUAUCUCUAAUUACUAUUAUUCUAUUAAAGUUAGCAUACUGUAAAUACACCACUAAC
Molecule: ribosomal RNA, 3047 nt
Filed under: Ambystoma mexicanum (axolotl)
Lineage: Eukaryota; Metazoa; Chordata; Amphibia; Caudata; Ambystomatidae
Description: eukaryotic LSU rRNA
Rfam family: Eukaryotic large subunit ribosomal RNA (bases 938-3047)
Source: RNAcentral